RNAcentral lists this non-coding RNA (28 nucleotides) under Homo sapiens (human). The record is from RNAcentral. Lineage: Eukaryota; Metazoa; Chordata; Mammalia; Primates; Hominidae.
UGGAAUGGCCAAAUAUCAAGGUGAAGUU